GUCUCUACUAAAAAAACAAAAUUAGCCAGACAUGGUGGCACAUGCCUGUAAUCCCAGCUACUCAGGAGGCUAAGGCAGGAGACUCGCUUGAACCCAGGAAGCAGAGGUUGCGGUGAGCCGAGAUCAUGCCAUUGCACUCCAGCCUGGGCAACAAGGGCAAAAACUCCAUCUCAGAAAAAAAAAGCUGCUUAUAUAAUCAAGAGAUUAAAAAUGGACAAUCUGUACAAGUGAUAUAGACAUCCCUUCUAGAUUGUUUAUAAAACAAUUAAGCACUUUGUUUAUGGAAAAUGAGAGAUCUGAAAAGUACAAGAAAACUGCUCUGUCCCCAGCUCACAGCAGCUGUGAAGAGAACCUCCCUUCUCAGUAACAGGCACAAUUUGUCUUCAGAUUUCUGCUGCCUAUAUAUUUGACACUCAUUAUUUACACCUCUACAAUCUAAUGGACAUCACUCCUUCCAUAAUUAACCAGUUUGAUAGUUACUGAAGAACAAAUUACAAUUGAACUGCUAAGACUACCUGCAAAAACAGAAAUAAAAACAAAAAAAACCCUAUUUCAUGUAAGUAAUCACUUGAUACACUGAAAACUGCUGUUAUAACUUGAGACUGUUAUUGUUAGAAAGUUAGCAUCAGGGCUGAGUGUGCACAUUAAUAUACUUCAACUUUGUCCCCAACCACUGCAACCAUUAGCAAGGUCAUUUACUCUCUCCGGAGCCUCAUUUCUUUCUAUACAAACCUGAAAUGUAAAAGUCUAACCUUUCAAUGCCCUGUGCUUAAAUGUCAAAUGGGGAAUAGUACCAGGAAAGUAUAUCUUUUUAUCAUUAUUAAAAUCCAAGGUGCCCUUGUGGAAGCAGCAAAAUGGAGUAGAUUGAAACUUUUGGGCCAACUGAAAUUUCCUAUAACACCACAAAUCCAUUGAAACAAAUAAGUAGACCAGUGGAAAUGAAAUCGUAACACUUGUUGCUGAUUCAUUUAAGAGAAAGAUAUGAGCUAGCCUUACAAUUGGGUUUCAUGUAAUACAACUGUCAAAUGCCCUGUAGUCCCAGUUACUUGGGAGGCUGAGGGAGAAGGAUCGCUUGACCCCAGAGUUCAAAUCGUUUGGGCAACAUAGAAAACUUUGUCUCUUAAAAACAAAUUGUCAAAAGUUUUCUUUAUGAAAAAUAUUAAAUCAUCAGGCUUUUUAAAUGAUAUGAUUUUUAGAUUAAGACAAGUUAUGUAACUUCUGGACAACCAUGAAAUAAGAUAUUAUUACUGAUAAACUUCAUAGCAAUGUUAAAAGACCACAUUUUGAAAAAUACAGGCAUAUCUUGGAGAUAUUGCAGGUUUGCUUCCAGACAACUGUAAUAAAAUGUUUAACACAAUAAAGGGAGUCACACAAUUAUUUUUAUUUUCCAGUACCUAUAAAAGUUAUGUUUAAUCUAUAUUAUAGUCUAUUAAGUUUGCAAUAGCAUUAUAUCUGACAAUGUACAUACUUUAAUUUAAAAAUAUUUUAUUGCUAAAAGAUGUUAACGAUAAUCUAAGUCUUCAGUGAGUCUUUGUUGCUGGAAGACAGUCUUGCCUCACUGUUGAUGGCUGCUGAAUGAUCGGUGUGGUGGUUGCUGAAGGUUAGUGUGGCUCUAGAGAUUUCUUUAAAUGAGACAACAAGGAAGGCUGCAACAUCAACUGACUCUUCCUUUCCGAAAGAUUUAUCUGUAGCAUGUGUUGCUGUUGGAUAGCCUUUUACCCACAGUGGAACAUUCUUCAAAAUUGAAGUCAAUCCUCUCAAACUCUGCUGCUGUUUUAUCAACUAAGUUUAUGUAAUAUUCUAAGUCCUUUGUUGUCAUUUCAACAAUGGUCACAGGAUCUUCACCAGGAGUAGUUUCCAUCUCAAGAAACCACUUUUGUGGCUCUUAUAUUAGAAGCAACUCCUCAUUUGUUCACGUUUUAUCAUGAGAUUGCAGCAAUUCAGUCACAUAUGCAGGUUCCACUUCUAAGUCUAGUUAUCUUGCUAUUUCCACCACAUCUGCAGUUACUUCGUCCACUGAAGUCUUGAACCCCUCAAGAUCAUCCAUCAGGGUUGAGGUCAAUGUCUUCUGAACUCCUGUUAAUGUUGAUAUUUUGACCUUCUCCCAUGAAUCACAAAUGUCCUUAAUGGCAUCUAGAAUGAUGAAUCCUUUCCAGAAGGUUUUCAAGUUACUUUGUACAGAACAACCACUAUGGCAGCCACAGCCUUACAAAAUGUAUUCCUUAAAUAAUACUUGAAAGUCAAAAUUACUCCUUGACCCAUGGAGUAAUGGAUCCUGCAGAAUGGAUGUUGUUUAGCAGACAUAAAAACAUUAAUCUCUUUGUACAUCUCCAUCAGAACUCUUGGGUGACCAGACACAUUAUCAACGAGCAGUAAUAUUUGGAACUAAAUUUUUUUUUUUUUUGAGACAGUCUCACUCUGUUACCCAGGCUGAAGCACAGUGCAAGAUUCCAUCUUAAAAAAUAAUAAUAAUACUAUUACAGUCUGGGGGUUU
RNAcentral lists this long non-coding RNA (2494 nucleotides) under Homo sapiens (human). RNAcentral describes it as "HSALNT0053324". The record is from RNAcentral. Lineage: Eukaryota; Metazoa; Chordata; Mammalia; Primates; Hominidae.